CGUAGGGUGCGAGCGUUAAUCGGAAUUACUGGGCGUAAAGCGUGCGCAGGCGGUUUUGUAAGACAGGCGUGAAAUCCCCGGGCUCAACCUGGGAACUGCGCUUGUGACUGCAAGGCUAGAGUACGGCAGAGGGGGGUGAAUUCCACGUGUAGCAGUGAAAUGCGUAGAGAUGUGGAGGAACACCAAUGGCGAAGGCAGCCCCCUGGGUCGAUACUGACGCUCAUGCACGAAAGCGUGGGUAGCAAACAGGAUUAGAUACCCUGGUAGUCCACGCCCUAAACGAUGUCAACUAGGUGUUGGGUGGGUAAAACCAUUUAGUACCGGAGCUAACGCGUGAAGUUGACCGCCUGGGGAGUACGGCCGCAAGGUUA
This 371-nucleotide ribosomal RNA is filed under the name uncultured organism. RNAcentral's name for it is "bacterial SSU rRNA". It matches the Rfam family "Bacterial small subunit ribosomal RNA", at positions 526 to 896 of the family's 1533-position model. The record is from RNAcentral.